Molecule: long non-coding RNA, 798 nt
Filed under: Homo sapiens (human)
Lineage: Eukaryota; Metazoa; Chordata; Mammalia; Primates; Hominidae
Description: non-protein coding lnc-VAV3-11:2
Source: RNAcentral
ACUUCCUGCGGGGUCGCCCGGCCGGCGGCGCGGAAGGUCUCCUGUGCCUGCUCACGGGAGCUGUUUUGUAUUGCUCUUCUGGUGUCCUGGCAUCCCUUUUCCCACCCACGACGCCCACAUUCUGAGAUCCUUUCAUUCCCCCUCCCACCCUUAGCUCCUCAGUUUUUUGCUUUCACUCCCUUCCUGAAGUAGGCACGCACACUUAAGACUAAUAAUCCACCUUUGUUUCUUCUGCUGAACUCACCUCUGUUUUUUUUGUUUGUUUUUCUGUUUUUUGUUUUUUUUGAGAGGGAGUUUCGCUCUUGUUUCCCAGGCUGGAGUGCAAUGGCGCGAUCUCCGCUCACCGCAACCUCCGCCUCCUGGGUUCAAGCGAUUCUCCUGCCUCAGCCUCCCGAGUUGCUGGGAUUACGGGCGCAUGCCACCAGGGCCGGCUAAUUUUGUAUUUUUGGUAGACGGGGUUUCUCCCUGUUGGUCAGGCUGGUCUCAAACUCGCGACCUCAGGUGAUCCGCCCACCUCGGCCUCCCAAAGUGCUGGGAUUACAAGCGUGAGCCACCGCGCCCGGCCUAACUCACCUCUGGUUUUAUUCCACCGAAUUAACAUGGCAGCACCAUCCACCCACUACCGCCUUAACUGGACAAUUGUAGCUCUUAAAGUGCUCCAGCUGUGGCAAUUUAGAAACUGCACUACGCAUUUCUUUUUUCUGUUUUCAGUGCAGUUAGAGUGCAAAUGUAACAAAAUUAAAACCUAACAAUGCAAAAUCUUGGUUCUGAUUCCAGUAUGACCACUAAUUAGUUGAG